AUACAGAGGGUGCGAGCGUUAAUCGGAAUUACUGGACGUAAGGCGCGCGUAGGCGGCUUGGUCAGUCGGAUGUGAAAGCCCUGGGCUCAACCUGGGAACUGCAUUCGAAACUGGCUGACUAGAGUAUGGUAGAGGGUGGUGGAAUUCCUAGUGUAGCGGUGAAAUGCGUAGAUAUUAGGAGGAACAUCAGUGGCGAAGGCGACCACCUGGACCAAUACUGACGCUGAGGUGCGAAAGCGUGGGGAGCAAACAGGAUUAGAAACCCCAGUAGUCC
Molecule: ribosomal RNA, 274 nt
Filed under: uncultured bacterium
Lineage: Bacteria
Description: partial 16S ribosomal RNA
Rfam family: Bacterial small subunit ribosomal RNA
Source: RNAcentral